AAGUAUGACUAAUAGAACAUAAACUGCACGUCCAAUCCCAUCUGAUCUCGGAAGCUAAGCAGGGUCGGGCCUGCUUAGUACUUGGAUGGGAGACCACCUAGGAAGACCAGUUGCUGUAUUCA
This 122-nucleotide ribosomal RNA is filed under the name Pteropus alecto (black flying fox). Lineage: Eukaryota; Metazoa; Chordata; Mammalia; Chiroptera; Pteropodidae. The record is from RNAcentral.